CCUACGGGUGGCAGCAGUGAGGAAUAUUGGUCAAUGGACGCAAGUCUGAACCAGCCAUGCCGCGUGCAGGAAGACGGCUCUAUGAGUUGUAAACUGCUUUUAUAUGGGGGUAAACGCAUAUACGUGUAUCAGUCUGAAAGUAUCGUACGAAUAAGGAUCGGCUAACUCCGUGCCAGCAGCCGCGGUAAUACGGAGGAUUCAAGCGUUAUCCGGAUUUAUUGGGUUUAAAGGGUGCGUAGGCGGGCGGGUAAGUUAGUGGUGAAAGGUCGGGGCUCAACUGGGGAAUUGCAGUUGAAACUGGCCGUCUAGAGUACAGUUGCGGUAGGCGGAAUGCAUGGUGUAGCGGUGAAAUGCUUAGAGAUCAUGAAGAACACCGAUUGCGAAGGCAGCUUACUGGACUACAACUGACGCUGAGGCACGAAAGUGUGGGGAGCAAACAGGAUUAGAUACCCGUGUAGUC
This 460-nucleotide ribosomal RNA is filed under the name uncultured bacterium. RNAcentral describes it as "partial 16S ribosomal RNA". It matches the Rfam family "Bacterial small subunit ribosomal RNA", at positions 338 to 795 of the family's 1533-position model. The record is from RNAcentral.